UGGGGAAUCUUGGACAAUGGGCGCAAGCCUGAUCCAGCCAUGCCGCGUGGAUGAUGAAGGCCUUAGGGUUGUAAAAUCCUUUCGCCGAGGACGAUAAUGACGGUACUCGGAGAAGAAGCUCCGGCUAACUUCGUGCCAGCAGCCGCGGUAAUACGAAGGGGGCUAGCGUUGUUCGGAUUUACUGGGCGUAAAGCGCGUGUAGGCGGGUCGUUAAGUUGGGGGUGAAAUCCCGAGGCUCAACCUCGGAACUGCCUUCAAAACUGGCGACCUGGACCUAAGUAGAGGCAAGUGGAAUUGCGAGUGUAGAGGUGAAAUUCGUAGAUAUUCGCAGGAACACCAGUGGCGAAGGCGACUUGCUGGACUUAUGGUGACGCUGAGACGCGAAAGCGUGGGGAG
RNAcentral lists this ribosomal RNA (396 nucleotides) under uncultured bacterium. RNAcentral describes it as "bacterial SSU rRNA". It matches the Rfam family "Bacterial small subunit ribosomal RNA", at positions 355 to 768 of the family's 1533-position model. The record is from RNAcentral.